UACGUAGGGUGCAAGCGUUAAUCGGAAUUACUGGGCGUAAAGCGUGCGCAGGCGGUUUCUUAAGUCAGAUGUGAAAUCCCCGGGCUUAACCUGGGAACUGCGUUUGAAACUGGGAGACUUGAGUGUGGCAGAGGGGGGUGGAAUUCCACGUGUAGCAGUGAAAUGCGUAGAUAUGUGGAGGAACACCAAUGGCGAAGGCAGCCCCCUGGGUCAACACUGACGCUCAUGCACGAAAGCGUGGGGAGCAAACAGG
This 253-nucleotide ribosomal RNA is filed under the name uncultured bacterium. RNAcentral's name for it is "partial 16S ribosomal RNA". It matches the Rfam family "Bacterial small subunit ribosomal RNA", at positions 524 to 776 of the family's 1533-position model. The record is from RNAcentral.